This 12820-nucleotide long non-coding RNA is filed under the name Daucus carota (carrot). Its description in RNAcentral is "long non-coding RNA (DCAR_LNC005286)". Lineage: Eukaryota; Viridiplantae; Streptophyta; Magnoliopsida; Apiales; Apiaceae. The record is from RNAcentral.
GCCCGUAUGAGUUACCCCCAACUCGCCUCGGUUGACCCUGACCUCUCUCUCUGUACCUUGAGCUCAUAUUAUGUGAGACAUCUGUGGGCCCUUCGAAAUUGUUGGAUUUCCCAUGGUUGUGUGGUCCAACAGGCUGGUACUCAAAGUGCAUGUUCCGUGACUGCCUUUCUCUGUUCCCACGUACAAUGUGAUGCCUGUUAUCCUUCCCACCAGAACUCAAAUCUUCGCAUAAUUCUUGCCCUCUAACAGACCGGUUAUUUUGGUUUCCAUGCUUGCGAUACCCCGAAGAAGUACGUUGCCCAAAACGAGUAUCUCCACUAUCAGGUGGGGCCGCUUCAUCCACGGUGCCAAGACCAUGCCUAUAAUGGGGUUGAGGACGCUCUUUAGCUGAGGCAACCUUCUUUUCCCUCCUUCCUUCUGGAUAUACAACAUUCGUAGACUCUCCAACAUUCUUAUUUUCAGAUGGAGACUGAUCAAGAUGAAGUGGAGGAAUAACCUCAGGUUGAUCUUUAUACAGUGCUCCAGACGCAUCUACGGUGAAGUGGGGUGAAUUUUUCCUUGUACCCCGGCCAGCUUCUUCAGAAACAUGUUGACCACCACCAGACUUCCUUCCAGUCUGAGCAUUGGUAGAAUAUGCCUUGGAUUUCGGUUGCCAAAGAGAUGAUGUCCUUUCCCCAUUGACAUGGCAUUCUACUGCAAUAGCGUCUCUCUCUUGUUGACUAUUCUCAAGGGCGGCAGAUUGAAUUGGCUUUUUAUAAAUCUCCCCACCAUUAUUGUUCUUCUGAUCAUCAUACUUAUUUGCCAUGUUUCUGUGACCUUUGUAAGGCUGUCUCUUCCCUUUGCCUUUUAUGACGCCUUGAUCUUUCAUCCCAAAGUUGGAAUUGACAACUGCAGCAGGUUCCUCGGGCAUGUUCCACCCAUCAGAAGGGUCCCAAGCAUCAGCAACAAUAGGUUCAGGUAUGAAGGACUCCUGCUGGUCAGUAGAUUUCUGAAAACUCUUGCUUAGAUACGACGAUGACCCCGUGUGAAGACGUGAUGAUUCUGUCGAAACACGAUGGUUCCAUCCUCCAUGACCUUUUGCAUGUUUACUUUGCAUACUGUCGCCAAUAUUAGACUCAACUGUACGCACCACAUUUUCAGGUACUGCUGGCUGAGAACUCUCCUGGAAACUAGAUUCUCUUCUGCCAGCAGUCUCAUUUAUUGUAGGCUGACUGGCGGAAGAUACUGAAUUCUGGAUGGUUCCCUGCUGGGCUAGCUCUUUCGCCACUUGCUUUGGAACAUAUCUCUCCAUUUCCGCCCUUUUGCUCUUCAGACCUAAAUUAUUAUUUUUUGUUGUCGAUGCAACAGAGUCUGGUGCUAAUGUCCUGCCUUCUACAUCUGCAUCCUCAACUCUAUGGUGGGAACGCACUGGAGCCCAUAUAGUAGCAUCAUUUCCAUGAGAUCUAUCAGCCACCUUAUUAGCUUGUCCAGUUUUUGAAAUCCUGCGAGGAGGCUGAGACUUCCAGGGGUUAUUUACUUUAACAUGGGAUUCUUCACUAAAUUUGGGGUCCAGCUGCGGAAGUUGUUCUAUGUCUUCCUUCACUGCCUGAAUAGAACCAGCAUCCACCUGGCUUUGAGAAACUUUCAUCUUUCCACUUUCAAGGAAAGCUUUAUCAGAAUCAGCUUGUUCCUGUACAUGUGAAUCAGAACCUGGUUGAGGAUUCUCAAGCUUGUUCUUAUUCUUACCAGACUUGGAACUUCUCUUGCCCUGAGCUGCUGAGACAUCAGGUACAACUGUAUUAGUAUUUUCAGGUAAAGUUGGUUGGCGACUUGAGACGAUCCCCUCUGGAGAAGUCUUAGAAAAUGCAGUAUCCUCAACUGCCAUACUUUCGUGAAUAUUUGCAAUUCCAAUUGUACCAAACGAAAUUAAACUCUCUGAAUAUUGCUUUCCCAUUCGAAUCUUUUGAAUCCUUUUGUAGCUUGUAUGCUCAUGCUUAAAGGAGCUAAUAUCAUUAAUCCCAGGAACAGCUUUGACAUCAACAUCAGCAGCCCCAACAGAUUCUUGUUUCAAGUAUGAAUUCUGGGGAGCAGUAAUUCCCAGUUCUGCAAUUUCAGAUGGGUCCAUCGGCAAUUUUGUUGACUGAACAGAGACCUUCAAGGCACUGCUUACAAUAACGGGAGCAACUGCAUUAGAGCCUAAGGAUAUAACUGGAUUUGGUGCAUCACUAUUUAGAGUAUUCUUUACAGGUUCAGCAAGAAUCUGUGACUCUUUUUGAUCUACAACGAUGCUGCUAAUUGCUGGAGCUUUCUCCAACUUCUCAGUAAUAAUACCCCCAGUUUGACUACGCCUGUUCAACUCUUCCAAUUUAGCAAGAGCUUUUACCUUCUGCUCCCUUAUUCUUUCUUCCUCUUCCUUCUGAAGUUGUAUUGCACGUUGCCGUGCUAAUUCUUUGAAUUUAGAACGCUGGUACAUUAUAUGCAGAGUUGUAAAAUGCAGAGUUAUGCAGAGUUAUGUAGGGCACCUAAAAAUAAUGUGAAUGGUAUAUUACCUGAGUCUGGGUAUCACCUGUAUCAAGAAUUUGGGUUAGAGUAUCACCAUCGUCCUUUCCUGAAUGAUUUGUCCCAGUCAUAACAGAAGCCUCUGCAUAACUAUGAUGAUCACGGUUGUCCUCAAUGGGGACAGGCCCAACAUUUGUUGUUGGGAGUGGUGCAAGACAUUCUGCAACAAGGGGUUUCUUCCGCCAAACAUCAGCAUCUGCCCUAAUCAUUUCUUUACCGCGGUGCUCUGAUCGGCCUUCCGAGCCAUUAAUAGCUCUCCUGUAAACUUCAAAUAGUUAAUGCACCAAAAUGAAAUUAAUAGACAACUGAAAAAGACAUGAUAAUCAAGAAACCUUGAGCUGGAACUCUCGACACUCGAUUGACUGGAAGAAAGAAUAAUAUCUCCCCUGCUGGACGCUGAUGCAAUCUCCUGACGGCCAUCAGAAGCCCGAGCCUUCGCAUUUAAACCCUCAAUUUUCUGUAACAAAUUUGAAUCCUUUGGUGCAGCUGCGAGUACAUGAGGAAUUUCUGGAAGAGAAGAUGAUGCAGAUGCAGUCUCAGAUUUUAUUUUCCAAUUCCUAUCGACUGGGUCAACUCUUUCAGGUGACAUUACUACGGACGAGUUUGAUGAAUGUACUCCUCUGCCAUCAUAUAUUCUUGAAGAAGAAUAUUCACCAUGCGCUGUUCUUUUGGAAUGCAUAUCUUCCCUUCUACUAUCAACCCCCCACUCAUUAUUGCGCAAAACUGCUCUUUGUUGGCUCCCCUUCUCUGGAAAGGAAACAUUUCCUGGGGCAAUAUUCUCCCAGCUCUCCUUUUCACCUUGGGCAUCCAAAUCAUUAUGUUGCUUAAUAAGAACUUUAUAUGGCCCUCGAGACUCGUUAAAAUGUACAGAUUCCACUUGCUCACGUCCCCCACCUCUGGCAUGCAUAUUGCUGUGAUCGGGAGUACACUGAGCUGGAAACCUAUUAAAAACAGGGGGAGCAGCUGACAUUCCCAUGAAUGGAAUAUCUCGUUCAUUGGGAUUGUAGCCCAUUGGAGCACCAAAAUAAUUAUCAUAUGGAACUGGACGAGGGUAGAAUCCAGGCCUGACAGGCAUACCUGGAUGCAUAUAAGCAUCAGGGAUCGGGGGCCUGUACAUAUCUCCAUUUUUUGGAUGAUGGCCUCUUGGGCCAUUCGCUGGGACUUGCUGCGGAACUGGCUGAGAAUUUCCUAGACUGGGAGGCGGCAUCUGAGGUCGAUAAUAAGGAAAAGGCUCCAGAGGAAAGCCACCUGCAGCAACGGGAGGACCAUAUGGUGGACCCCCUGGAGGUCCUCUAUACCAUAGCCCGGCAGGAGAAUUCAUUGGAGGACCACGCCAGGCAUCAAAAUGCUGAGGAACAUUUGGAUUCAUGAAUUGUUGGGGAUAACCCCCUUGCCAACUAUUUAAAUUAGAUUUGAAUCCGUCUUCAGCAUGUUGGGUGUCAUCUCUUUUCCAAGUAUUUGUGUUUCCACCCUUCACAUCUGCAAUUCACGAAAAUUAAAAUUCUAUAAGUAAAACCUAAUAUUGCUGGUCCAGUACAUAAUAUAUAAAGAAGAUCUACUGCGAGAAGAGAUUGCUAAGGAAAAGGCUUAUAUUAAUUUCAGAGGCACGACCAGAUUCAGAAGUUGCAGUUCUGUCAUAUUCUGCUGCUACUUCACCAGGAGAUGAUCUAGGACGAUCAUGAGCCCCAUAUUCUGCCAGUAAAAAUUAACAAGCAGUCAGUAACAUGUCAAGAUGCAUUUUCAGCAGCAGCUAUCAGAUUAUUCUAACUAAUAGAGCACAACUAAGAUCAUUAAAAAGAAAAAGUCGAUAAUAGCAAAAAGCAAUAAUGUUAUAUACGAACUUGCUAUGAAGGUUUAGAUUUUACUGGUGAGCCAAAACAGAAACACAAAACUAUCCUGACGGCUGUUCAAGUCUUCAAGAUACUUCCAGUUCAGAAAUUACAAGAUCAAUUUAUUAUAUUUAUAAUCGACGCCACUUGAUAAGAACAAAUAAUGAGUAAGCUUGCAUUUGGCUUAGCCAGAGAUGAAGUAUAAUAGAAAUGAACACAAAAGGCCUAUUCUGGUCUCCUAGGAAGAUAACAUGUAUUAGUGUAUUACUAAUUCAGAUUAUACCAAACAAAGUGCCUAAAUUUAAGUUAAAAAAAAAAACAACUAAAUCUUGACUACUCAUUAAAUAGAAAUCGACCACCAAAGAGGCCAGAUGAGCAACAUAACCUUAUGUGAUAGUCAAACUGAGAACAUAAAAUUACCAUGCGAGUCAGAAUCCUUCCCAGAAUUGUCUCUCUCUGAACCAAGAGUUGGAAAAUCUCCAGAAGUCAGUGAAAAUCCUUCUUUCUUGGUAGAUGAUAUUACCUGUAGCAUAUUUUGAAGAACCAAAAGAUCAAUCCAUAAAAGCAGUUGCAUCACCAUCAAGUAUCAACAAAAAUCAUUGGGUAUGUUACAUAAUGGUAUUUUCCUCAACAUAGGUCUAUACCAAUUUGUCAGCAUUCCCUGUUCGGCCCCACGCUGCUGAACUGUCAGGUAUGUUUUCAGAAAAUCUAGACAGCUGUGAGCUACCAGGUCUUGUUUCUGCACUCCGAGGACGCAAUGAUGUCAACGAUGUUUGAUUUGAUGCCAAAGCUCCAGAAGCUGAUGAUGGACGAGAAUUAGAACCCCAAGCACUGGGGACAGGUUCCUGCAUUUUAUCACUGCCAGCAGUUGAUGGCCUAGUGGCACUUCCACCAGACGAAGGGCGACCCCCAGCAUGGCUUGGUGAACCAUUGGAACAAUCACCACUUGGAGAUUGAAGCGAGGAACCCCAUGGAUUCGAUGCAGAAGAUGAUGGCCGACUUCCCCAACUAAGACUACCCCUGUGAAGAAGUGAUGUAUGAAUAAAUUUCUUUAUUUUGGAUUAUUUAAACAAGCCAAUAUUUUUAUAUGGAAAGGAGAAUUACAACAAUUCGGUUCUAUUUACAUCUAAAAAUACAUGUGUGUGUGAGGGACAGGUAGUAUUAAAAUUGUUUAAACUGCACUUACUUGGGAACAAUUUCCACAUUUGGAUCAAGCCCGUGAUUUUCUAACCUUGAAAAAGAAAUAAAAUUUACAUACUUUUAGAUAUUAAACCCACGUUACUAAAGAUAUAAAACUUGAUAUACUCAAAAGGAUAAGUAUACCUUUGACUAGGUAAGUUAAUGGGUUUGGGAACAGCAACCUUUCCCAAAACUGUCUUCCCACCUCUUCUGGCAGAGGCCCACCUAUAAAUUAGAAGAUACACAAACACAAACAACUAAGCAUAAAUGUCAAUCAAACUUGCUACUGAAACUAUACAGCAAAAUUACUACUUAGGACAUCAGCCUGUAUAGACAGAAUCAUCCAAACACACAGGGCAAGGGAUACCUAGAGCAUAAUUAACCCAUAAUAGAUUGCAGAUACUGAUGCCACAUAUACUACACACAGAUUUUUCUUAAAGUGCAGGCAAGGAAUGUCUAGUUAGUCAUUGUUCUACCUUAAUAUACAAAAGAACAUAAUGCUAUAAAAUUGUUGUAAGGAGAUUUUUAGAUAUAAAUUUUGUUAUUCAACCAUAACUAAGUGAUGAAAUAUAACCACAUGAGUUAAAACUGCAUGAUACAUACUCUAAAAGAAUGAACAGCAGAUUCAAGGCACUUGAAGAUCCAGCAAAAAAAUCUGCUCAGUAGCACGCUUUACAUGCACUACUUUUAAAGUCAUAAAAUACAGUUUAUAAACCCGAAGGCAGAAUAUCUUAAAAUAAGGUAUAUAAGGCCCCUUAAAAAAGCGCACACAACAAUUUAUACACAGUACUCACCUUCUAAGCCGUACAAUAUAUUGUGGAGAUAAUUUAAUCGUCUGUUUUCAUAGUUAAAAAAAAAAAACUCACUAGUAAGGUAAGCACACAAUACAUAUUCUAUGAAACAAAACACUGGGUUUAAUUAAAUACUACUAAAGUCUUCACCAAUUUCCAGCUUUAGCUAUUAGUGCAACUGUCUUUGGAUUUGACAAUUCAAAAUUUUCAAAAGUGUUACAGUUCUUUGAUACAAAAUACUCCCAACGAGAUGGUCCCAGUUUAUAAAAAAUGGCAAUGAGAAAUGAAGUAAAAGAUAUGGAACUUAUGACAUACCUCCUUUCGCCAGCAAGCAUACUCGAUGUCAUUGUUCCAAUAUAGUACGAAGGUCAUCCAAACAGCACCAAAUGGGCCUGAACACAAAGUAGAGAAGGUACAACUCAUUUACAACAAAGAUUUGAACAUAUUUGAUCUCCUAUUCAUGCAAAUGCAUAAUAACUGGAUAUGAAUUAUGAACGAAUAACAAAAACCAGUCAAAUGUUACAAUCACUGCGGAAAUUUGUCAGAAAAUACCACUAAAUGAUAAAACAUAAUUUCGAAGACUCAUGUACCAAACUACCGUAGUAACUAUAGGACCCCGAUAUUAACUACAGUAGAACCCCUCUAAAUAAAUACUCUACAGAGCGAUAGACUCUGUAAAUUGAUAUAAAGUCCCCGCCCGAAGUCAGGACCAUUAUUAAAAUUUAAUAACCCCUCUAUCGUGAUAACUAAUAUACAUUAAAAAAAUCUUAGUGUUAAAUAUCGGUCUCAACUUUCGCAUAAAGUGAUAUUUUAGACUAUAUACAUUUUUUUCAUACACUUCAUGAAGAUGAUAAAUAUUUUUUAAUAUUGAUAUGUAUAAUUUUAUUUAUUUUGAAUAACUUCAAUAUCAUGCAUUAUCGUUCAUGUUACCUUUUUUGUUAGGGCAUCAUCUAUGUUAUCUUUAAUUCAUCUUUGUAAAUUGUAAUAUCUUUUAUAUUAUAUUUAUGACGAAAUUUUAUCAAUUUCUGUAAUAUUAUCGAAUUUAUAUUAGUUAUCUUGAACCCAAAAGUUUUAAUGCACAUAAAUGUUAGUAAAUUACUUUAAAAUUAUGUAUAUUAUGAGUAUUAGAAUGCAGAAAAUUAAUUAUAAUAAAAUUUCAUUAGAAAAAUAUAAACCUCCCUUAUAUAAUAACCUCUCUAAAGUGAUAAUUUCUCCAGUCCCAAGGAUAUCACUUUAGAGUAGAACUAAUUGGUUGUGGUGUCACUUGGUGCUCUUAAAACAAUCAACCUUCUAUCUAAUCUGAUUUGAAAUCAUAAAAAUAGUUAUGAUUAUCCAUAAUCGAUAAUGACAAUUUAAAGCUCAGAUCUUUACGUAUAAAAAUUUCCUGUAUUGCAAAUAUCAACUUCCAACACUUUCUUUGUUUACCUCCGGUCAAUUGACCAACCGUAGUAACUUUAAUUACAAUAUGAUAGUAUCUUUAUAUUAGUACAGAUAUAUGAUACAUUUGUAUUCAUAUGAAUUUGUAUUCCAUAGUUCUACAAGAUAUGGACACUGUUAUACAAAUGUUCUAAGAGUUCAGCUUAAAAAAUAUAGAACCCAUCAAAAACUGUUCGGUUAUCUUGGUUGUUUCAUAUUGGGAAGUCUCAAGUUAAAAUUUAUAUAUAUACGAAGAUAAAAAAAAACUAUUUUUACAUGUAGAUGUGAUAGUAUUAUGUUGUGUUUGGUUGGUUGGGGUGAAUGGACAUGGAAGGGACGAAAAGAAAUUUGGACUAUGUUAUAAGCAAAUGUUUAAAAAUUUCAUUCCUUCCUCCAUUCCAUUCCUUGGCCCUAUGCCAUAGAUCACACCCCCAAUUUAAGGAGGAAUGCUCCAUUCCUUCACAUACUCAUUUUCUUCUCAAAUCUUAUCAUAACAAUUUUGCACUUACUCAAUUUUGUUUCAAAACUUUCUUCCUACCUCUACUAUUUUCAUUUAUUUUUAGUCAUUCCAUUCCAUUCUCCCAAACCAAACACAACACUAGUAUUGAAAAAUUAUUAGGUACUUGAGCUUCUCUCGCAUGGUGAUCUGCUUACUGGAUUCUUGCUUGUUCUAGUAACUACUUUAAAGUAAACAGUUCAAAUAAAAACCUUAAGGUGUUUAGAAAAAGGCUCCAACAGGAUCAUAUGCUACAACAAACAUUAUUCAACAACUACCAUACAGGUUUGACAAAAGCACAACUACCUAUUCUAUCGAGUCUAUGGAGACUGUUGGUAUUAGCUACGGACUGCCUGAUUGUUAAUAUGGAAAUUUGAUUCCAAUCUCCAAUAUAAUAAAGAAAGAAACCAAGGUUUAAUACCCAAGGUAAAUCAUCAAUCAACAGUUAGAUAAUAUCCCGAAAAGUAGUUACUGUUAUACAAACUUAGUCAAAAUGAAGCCGGUCCAAUAUAAUAAAGAAAGAAACCAAGGUUUAAUACCCAAGGUAAAUCAUCAAUCAACAGUUAGAUAAUAUCCCGAAAAGUAGUUACUGUUAUACAAACUUAGUCAAAAUGAAGCCGGUCAAAUGCUAUAUGAGAUAUUCCUCUGUCUUGUUCUCAUUUGUCAUUGAUUUUGAACAUCUAAUUCUUUAACUGAAGCCUCUUUCCCAGGGAACAAUCAUGAUAUACAUACGAGUAAAGUAGAACUCGUAUAUCAUAUAAAACUUAUAUGAUAUUAGUUUUACUACUUCAAUUAUGAGAUAUAGUAGUAGAAAACUGACUGGCAACAACAAAUGAGCAAGGCGCAACAUACAAGUAAAGCUACACAUUAUAUCCGCGUAUGCUGAUAAUUAAAGAGUACUAUGACUUCCAAAUUAUUACCUACUCAAAUCACCCGGAACUAAUGUCGAAAUUCACUGGCAGAAGAAUUAACAGGACUUUAACCAACUCGGUAUCAAUUAAAAAACAACUUCAACAUCAUCAAUAGUGAAACAAAGCAACUUUGAAUUUCUGUAACUACCAGUGAUAUCACUGCUUAUGAAUAAAUUAAAAAUCAUUCAUGAUAAAACAAUAUAUAAUCAAUUAAUAAUUUUGAAUAUUAAAAACAGUUAUCAAUUAUCAAUUCUCCUGAAAAACCUGGAAUCAAAUUAUUCUUAUGUAUACACACAGAUAAUUACAGAACAAGUGUACGGAGACGUAAGAAUAUGUAAGACGAAAGACUCACCGGAGAGAGAUGGAGAGAGAGAGAUCCUCGAUCUGCGAGCUUCGAGGAGAGAGAGGUAGAGAGAUGUAUGUGCUGCCGAUGCGACGUCGUUUGAGAGACGUCGAAUAAGUUGGUUGUAUUAUACGUGUGUGUGUGUGAUUGUGUGUGAAAGAAGCGAAAGGAUCGGAGAGGGAGGAGGCUCGAGAGAGGGAGGCAGUGAUGUAAAUGUUCGUAUAACCCAAACCUCAAACCCCAUGCCCAUUUAGUAAAAUAAUACUUCUAGCUUUUAAUUAAUUUUUUUUUUGAAAAAAAAGAGAUAAUUCAAUAAAUAAUGGUCAUACGGCAUCUACAAGAAUGAUCGAGUCGAACAAACAUAGAAAAAAUUAACAUGCCUGUCUUCAUACCCAAGAUGAGACAAAUAAGCGAUGUUGAAAUUGACGAUGGUACAUGUAUAGAUCCUUGCUCUGUGUUCACCAUAUUUUCCAAAAACUCCGUUUGAGCUAUCGACCACAAAUGCAAUUCCCGAAAGGCUUUAUCUAUGAAUCCAAACCACUCUCACAAAAGAAGGAGAGAAAAAUCACACACUCUCACUAGGGAGAGAAAUCAAACUAUAAUCAAAACAAACUAAAACAAUUAGAUCUGCACCACGACGCUUAGGAGAUAAUCGAUCCACUCACAAAUCCAAAAAGACCUCUGGAAGCGAAUAAGAACGAAAAUCGAAAGUUUCGGUGAUAUAGAUCUAAGAAAACUUUCCCCGAAUAUAGAGAUUUAUUAAGAAACUCAAUGAAAAAGUAAGAACAAUCAAAAACUAGCAAUCAAACGAAAAGAUCUGGGGCUUUCCACCGGAAACCGAUGGAAGCCCCGUCGGAGAUGAAAAGAGGAGGCGGCUAGAGAGAAGAGAGAAAACGAAAACUAGGAUUUUUAAAAAAAUUUACUAUUUAUUAAUUAAUUUUUUAUUAUUUAUCUUUGAUUGGGACACGUGGAAUAUUUUAUUACUUAGCAUUGUGAAACAUGUCAAUUGCAUGAAUCCCCAAAAUGCUAAACCCUAUUUAAGAUCCACAAUCGUGUUUAUCUCGUUGUGUUUUGACGAAGACGCUCAGAUCAUUCAUUCUCCGAUGAAUUCGCGAUAAAGAUAAAUCUCAUGUGUCAAAAAUCAUGGUCAAGAUACCAUUUAUAUAUAUUUCAUCCAAAAUUUUUUCUUGCAUUAAAUCAAAUUUUUACGGAAACAACCUUCUAAAAAGUAGCGAUAUGAUCUGCGUAUAUUUUAUCCUCUUCAUACCCUACUCUAAACGGGGUAUACCAGAUAUGUUUGAUUUGGUUUGGUUAUAGGCCGUAGAAUUGUUAUAUAGAAAUGUUAGUAAAAAGAAUGUAACGGAAAUUAGAUAAAUUAUUUAUAGAAAUGUUAGUUUAAAGAAUGUAAUGAAAAUUAGAUAAAUUAUUUAUAGAAGUGUUGGUAAAAGGAAUGUUCUCAAAAUUAGAUAAAUUAUUUAUAGAAGUGUUGGUAAAAAGAAUGUUAUGAAAAUUAGAUUAUUAUUUUAUGUUUAUGCUCCCUCCGUUUCAAAAUAUUUGACGCUUUGAUUUUUUUCACAUAGUUUAAAAUCCUUUGACCAUGUAUUUAUAUUUAUUAUUUUUAAAAUUUUAUUUUUUUAAAUAAAAGUAUAUAGUCGAAAUUUUAAAGUAUAAAUUUUUUCUUUAAAAAAUGAUGAUUCUAGGUGCUUGGUCAAAACACUUUAAAAUGUGCGUAAAAAGUCAAAACGUCAUGCUUUUUGAAACGGAAGGAGUAUGUGUUUUGAAUAAUGAUAUGCUUGAAAAAGUUAAUGUUUAUGAUAGAUAUUUGGUUGUGAAUCUGAGUUCUCGAAAGUGAAAACAAAUUUUCCGAAAAUAUAAGUACCUAAUUUUUUAAUACAGUUUUUGAUUCAAAAGGUAGUGUUCAGUUGAACUACUUUCAAAUUGGCAAUAACAUAGGAAAACUCGUUACUCUCAGUGACUUGAAAAUACAGUAUAAGAAAUACGAGGAAAUUUUAGAGCUUUUCGGCAUCUAUGGGUGGUGAAUUCUAAUUUAUUUCAAUUUUUGUGAUAUUUACUUUUUAUUUUAAUAAGAUGUUUCUUCUAAUAUUUAUAUUUUUCUCUUUUAUGAUACAAAACAUGCAAGUCCGUACCCACAGUGGUCACUUAUAUGUAUACCAAGGAAUCACUGCCCACAGUGCUCACAUAUAUGUAUAGGUAGAGGAAACAAUUCACAACAAUGUGAAAUUGGAAACCUAGUUGUGCUGCAUCAUGAAAACUUGAUGAAAACUCAGCAAGUCUAAGCUGAAUUUAUAGAUAACAUGAUUGUCGACCACAUUAGAAUAUUGUAGAAUUAUAUCAAGAAGCUUGUGCAUCAUCAAAACAUGCCAAGGAAUCAUACACAAGACUAACAUCCCUAAUUCAUUGCCUAAAUUGUUCCGACAUCAUUGGGGCAUGCAAAGGAUAGAUACUAAAUCCAAGGCUCCGUUAGGAAUGCCAAAAGGUUCCACAGGUGAUAAACUGGGACCACAAUACAAAACAUGAAACCGAUUGCACCAUAAGAAUAAGAAGAAUACAGAACCAAUCAAUCAUGACCAAAUUCCUGGCAAAAACUCGCUGACAUCUUUUGCCCUUAAACGCCCCUUAUCCUGAUUGAUAAAGAUAAAUGUGUGAAUAUCAGUUAAUAGACUACUUGUAACAAUUAUCAUUGGAACAAAAAUAGCACCAUCUCAGCUGGCAAUAACUGCAACAUUGUCAAAUCAAGACACCAAGAGUUUGGGAGAACUUACCUUUAACAAGCAUCAACUUAUUCUGGAUGUUACUCGUAGCCAACAUCAGCUUGAACGGCACUGCUCUUUCGCCCGUAAGAGUUACUCCCACCUCGCCUCGGUUGACCCUGCCCUCUCUCUCUGUACCUUGAACCCAUAUUAUGUGAGCCACCAGUGGGCCCCUCAACGUUGUUGGAUUUCCCAGGGUUGUGAGGUCCGACAGGCUGGUACUCAAAGUGCAUGUUCCGUGGCUGCCUUUCUCUGUUCCCAUGUACACUGUGAUGCCUGUUAUCUUGCCCGCCAGAACUCCAAUCUUCACGUAAUUCUUGCCCUCUAACAGACCGGUUAUUUUGGUUUCCAUGCUUGCGAUACCCCGAAGAAGUACGUUCUCCAAAACGAGCAUCUCCACUAUCAGGAGGGGCCGCUUCAUCCAUGCUGCCAAGACCAUGCCUAUAAUGGGAUUGAGGACGCUCUUUUGCUGAAGCAACCUUCUCUCUCCUUCCUUCUGAAUAUACAACAUUCGAAGACUCUCCAACACUCUUAUUUUUCGACGGG